UACGGAAGGGGCAAGCGUUGUUCGGAAUCAUUGGGCGUAAAGGGCUCGUAGGCGGUCUGUUGCGUCGGGAGUGAAAACUCAGGGCUUAACCCUGAGCCUGCUUCCGAUACGGGCAGACUAGAGGUAUGCAGGGGAGAACGGAAUUCCUGGUGUAGCGGUGAAAUGCGCAGAUAUCAGGAGGAACACCGGUGGCGAAGGCGGUUCUCUGGGCAUUACCUGACGCUGAGGAGCGAAAGUGUGGGGAGCGAACAGG
Molecule: ribosomal RNA, 253 nt
Filed under: uncultured bacterium
Lineage: Bacteria
Description: partial 16S ribosomal RNA
Rfam family: Bacterial small subunit ribosomal RNA
Source: RNAcentral